UACGAAGGGGGCUAGCGUUGUUCGGAAUAACUGGGCGUAAAGCGCACGUAGGCGGAUUUGUAAGUCAGGGGUGAAAUCCCGGGGCUCAACCUCGGAACUGCCUUUGAUACUGCAAGUCUGGAGUCCGGAAGAGGUGAGUGGAAUUCCUAGUGUAGAGGUGAAAUUCGUAGAUAUUAGGAAGAACACCAGUGGCGAAGGCGGCUCACUGGUCCGGUACUGACGCUGAGGUGCGAAAGCGUGGGGAGCAAACAGG
RNAcentral lists this ribosomal RNA (253 nucleotides) under uncultured bacterium. RNAcentral describes it as "partial 16S ribosomal RNA". It matches the Rfam family "Bacterial small subunit ribosomal RNA", at positions 524 to 776 of the family's 1533-position model. The record is from RNAcentral.